AGGGAAUAUUAGAAAUGGACGAAAGUCUGAUCUAGCAACACCGCGUGUGCGAUGAAGGCCUUCGGGUUGUAAAGCACUUUUUGGAAGGAUUAGGAAGGAAUGUACUUCCAGAAUAAGUCUCGGCUAACUACGUGCCAGCAGCCGCGGUAACACGUAGGAGGCGAACGUUAUCCGGAUUUACUGGGCGUAAAGUGCGUGUAGGUGGUUCUGUAAGUAGGGCGUGAAAGCUCCUGGCUCAACUGGGAGAGGCCGUUCUAAACUGCAGAGCUAGAGGAUGGUAGAGGGAGGUGGAAUUCCGGGUGUAGCGGUGGAAUGCGCAGAUAUCCGGAGGAACACCAGUGGCGAAGGCGGCCUCCUGGACCAUUCCUGACACUCAGACGCGAAAGCUAGGGUAGCAAACG
This 401-nucleotide ribosomal RNA is filed under the name uncultured bacterium. Its description in RNAcentral is "bacterial SSU rRNA". It matches the Rfam family "Bacterial small subunit ribosomal RNA", at positions 356 to 774 of the family's 1533-position model. The record is from RNAcentral.